RNAcentral lists this ribosomal RNA (497 nucleotides) under uncultured bacterium. RNAcentral's name for it is "partial 16S ribosomal RNA". It matches the Rfam family "Bacterial small subunit ribosomal RNA", at positions 28 to 506 of the family's 1533-position model. The record is from RNAcentral.
GACGAACGCUGGCGGCGUGCCUAAUACAUGCAAGUCGAGCGGACGAAUCGAAAGCUUGCUUUUGAUUCGUUAGCGGCGGACGGGUGAGUAACACGUGGGCAACCUGCCCUGUAGACGGGGAUAACACCGAGAAAUCGGUGCUAAUACCGGAUAACACGAAAUGUCGCAUGACGUUUCGUUGAAAGACGGCGCAAGCUGCCGCUACAGGAUGGGCCCGCGGCGCAUUAGCUAGUUGGUGAGGUAACGGCUCACCAAGGCGACGAUACGUAGCCGACCUGAGGGGGGGACCGGCCAAACGGGGACUGAGACCGGGCCCGAACCCGUAGGGGGGGCCGGAGGAGGGAAUUUUCCGAAAGGGCGGAAAGUUUGAGGGGGGGACGCGGGGGGGGGAAAGAAGGCCUUGGGGUGGUAAAGCUCGUUUGUUGGGGAAAAAAAAGAAAGGCAGUAACGGGGGUUACGGUGAGGGUACCAAAGGGAAAAGCCACGGCUAACUAGGG